GGCUCAGGAUGAACGCUAGCUACAGGCUUAACACAUGCAAGUCGAGGGGCAGCGGGAUUGAAGCUUGCUUCAAUUGCCGGCGACCGCGCACGGGUGAGUAACGCGUAUCCAACCUUCCGUACACUCAGGGAUAGCCUUUCGAAAGAAAGAUUAAUACCUGAUGGUAUGAUGAGAUUGCAUGAUAGCAUCAUUAAAGAUUUAUCGGUGUACGAUGGGGAUGCGUUCCAUUAGGUAGUAGGCGGGGUAACGGCCCACCUAGCCGACGAUGGAUAGGGGUUCUGAGAGGAAGGUCCCCCACAUUGGAACUGAGACACGGUCCAAACUCCUACGGGAGGCAGCAGUGAGGAAUAUUGGUCAAUGGACGAGAGUCUGAACCAGCCAAGUAGCGUGAAGGAUGAAGGUCCUACGGAUUGUAAACUUCUUUUAUAAGGGAAUAAACCCUCCCACGUGUGGGAGCUUGUAUGUACCUUAUGAAUAAGCAUCGGCUAACUCCGUG
This 496-nucleotide ribosomal RNA is filed under the name uncultured bacterium. Its description in RNAcentral is "bacterial SSU rRNA". It matches the Rfam family "Bacterial small subunit ribosomal RNA", at positions 21 to 507 of the family's 1533-position model. The record is from RNAcentral.